GCAGGUAGCAGAACGUUCUAUAUAAUAGAAUUGCUAAUGCUGGUAUAAGUAACUAUGUAAAAAUACAGCUAAGCUAAAGGUUUUGCGCAACAGUGAAACGAUAAAGUAA
RNAcentral lists this ribosomal RNA (109 nucleotides) under Polytomella magna. RNAcentral describes it as "mtLSU-6 from Polytomella magna (PDB 8APN, chain A6)". The record is from RNAcentral. Lineage: Eukaryota; Viridiplantae; Chlorophyta; Chlorophyceae; Chlamydomonadales; Chlamydomonadaceae.